AGGCGGUUAGCUCAGCUGGUUAGAGCGUUGCGUUGACAUCGCAAAGGUCGCUGGUUCGAUUCCGGUACCGCCUACCA
Molecule: transfer RNA, 77 nt
Filed under: Candidatus Endonucleibacter bathymodioli
Lineage: Bacteria; Pseudomonadati; Pseudomonadota; Gammaproteobacteria; Oceanospirillales; Endozoicomonadaceae
Description: tRNA-Val
Rfam family: tRNA
About the family: Transfer RNA (tRNA) molecules are approximately 80 nucleotides in length.
Source: RNAcentral